RNAcentral lists this ribosomal RNA (618 nucleotides) under uncultured bacterium. Its description in RNAcentral is "bacterial SSU rRNA". It matches the Rfam family "Bacterial small subunit ribosomal RNA", at positions 338 to 948 of the family's 1533-position model. The record is from RNAcentral.
CCUACGGGAGGCAGCAGUGGGGAAUUUUGGACAAUGGGCGAAAGCCUGAUCCAGCCAUUCCGCGUGAGUGAAGAAGGCCUUCGGGUUGUAAAGCUCUUUCGCAAGGGAAGAAAACUUAGUCUCUAACAUAGACUGAGGUUGACGGUACCUUGAUAAGAAGCACCGGCUAACUACGUGCCAGCAGCCGCGGUAAUACGUAGGGUGCGAGCGUUAAUCGGAAUUACUGGGCGUAAAGCGUGCGCAGGCGGUUUUGUAAGUCAGAUGUGAAAUCCCCGAGCUCAACUUGGGAACUGCGUUUGAAACUACAAGACUAGAAUAUGUCAGAGGGGGGUAGAAUUCCACGUGUAGCAGUGAAAUGCGUAGAGAUGUGGAGGAAUACCAAUGGCGAAGGCAGCCCCCUGGGAUAAUAUUGACGCUCAUGCACGAAAGCGUGGGGAGCAAACAGGAUUAGAUACCCUGGUAGUCCACGCCCUAAACGAUGUCUACUAGUUGUUGGUGGAGUAAAAUCCAUGAGUAACGCAGCUAACGCGUGAAGUAGACCGCCUGGGGAUACGGUCGCAAGAUUAAAACUUAAAGGAAUUGACGGCUGAGAGAGCGAGACGACGACGAGGGAGGAGG